UACGUAGGGUGCAAGCGUUAUCCGGAAUUAUUGGGCGUAAAGAGCUCGUAGGCGGUUUGUCGCGUCUGCCGUGAAAACCGGAGGCUCAACCUCCGGCCUGCAGUGGGUACGGGCAAACUAGAGUGCGGUAGGGGAGAUUGGAAUUCCUGGUGUAGCGGUGGAAUGCGCAGAUAUCAGGAGGAACACCGAUGGCGAAGGCAGGUCUCUGGGCAUUAACUGACGCUGAGGAGCGAAAGCAUGGGGAGCGAACAGG
Molecule: ribosomal RNA, 253 nt
Filed under: uncultured bacterium
Lineage: Bacteria
Description: partial 16S ribosomal RNA
Rfam family: Bacterial small subunit ribosomal RNA
Source: RNAcentral